UGGGGGAUAUUGCACAAUGGGCGAAAGCCUGAUGCAGCGACGCCGCGUGGGGGAUGAAGGCCUUCGGGUUGUAAACUUCUUUUGCUCUGAACAAGGCAUGCCUUUGGGGUGUGUUGAGUGUAGGGGUUGAUUAGCGCCGGCUAACUACGUGCCAGCAGCCGCGGUAAUACGUAGGGCGCGAGCGUUGUCCGGAAUUAUUGGGCGUAAAGGGCUUGUAGGUGGCUGGUUGCGUCUGUCGUGAAAGCUCAUGGCUUAACUGUGGGUUUGCGGUGGGUACGGGCUGGCUUGAGUGCGGUAGGGGAGGCUGGAAUUCCUGGUGUUGCGGUGGAAUGCGCAGAUAUCAGGAGGAAUACCGGUGGCGAAGGCGGGUCUCUGGGCUGUUACUGACGCUGAGGAGCGAAAGCGUGGGGAGCGAACAGG
Molecule: ribosomal RNA, 420 nt
Filed under: Fusobacteriota bacterium
Lineage: Bacteria; Fusobacteriati; Fusobacteriota
Description: Fusobacteria bacterium partial 16S ribosomal RNA
Rfam family: Bacterial small subunit ribosomal RNA
Source: RNAcentral